GCGGUGUGUGCAAGGGGGCCACCGUGGGUGUGCUGCUGGACCUGAAUAAGCACACUCUGACCUUCUUCAUCAAUGGGCAGCAGCAGGGCCCCACAGCCUUCAGCCACGUGGACGGGGUCUUCAUGCCAGCCCUCAGCCUCAACCGCAACGUUCAGGUCACCCUGCACACAGGACUGGAAGUGCCAACGAACCUGGGGCGGCCAAAGCUGUCAGGCAACUAGCCUGCCAGGCCCUGCUCUGCGUGGCCGUCCCUCACUGCACUCACAUAGCCCCCGAGGGAGCACAGCCACAUCCCGGGUGCAGCCCAGCAGCCGCUGAGCAUCUUAGAGACACGCUUUCUUUGAGGGACGGAGAAUGUCUGAGGCCAGGCUCACUGAGGCCGCAGAGGGUGGUGAACGUGGGUGCUUCCUGUCGUUCCAAUGGGCAUUACAGACACGAAGAAGGACGUUUGUCAAGACAGUGAGGAAGUAUUCGGGGUUUCAUUUGGUUUCCUGCCUUCUGUUUUCAAUGCUUGUCUUUUGCAGAGGGUGGGGAGGGGGGCAAGGGGAGAGCAGACCCUGUGGCGAGCAUCCUGAGAGCAGGAGUCGGGGGUCCUGUAUCCUUGGUGUCAAAUCUUUGCUGGAUGCACCGCUUCAGAGAACAAAGGGUGCUGGCUCCCAUCUCUGUCAGGAAGUGUCAUUCUUUAGGUUUUCAGUUCUGGCAUAUCUGGAGUCUGGCAUAUUCCACCACUUGCAGACGCAGCCAGGAUGCACAGAGAGGGGCGUUAAUUAUUCACCUUGCUCUUUGCCGCUCCCACUGAACUGCUGAGAACUUUUUCAAACGUUUCCUUAGGUCCUUCAUUAAUCAACCAGUCUCUCUCUCCCCCGCCAUCCCCUCACACAUGCGCGCGUGCGCACACACACACACACACACCAGUCUGCUAAAAUUCAUUCGCUCAGUUCUUAAACACAAAACCCUGGAAUCUGCAUCACUGUGCGCUGAGUCUCCACCUGGUGAUGGCUCUUUUUGGGAGCUGGCUCCUCCAGAAGUUAGCCGCAAACCCGAGUUACUCUUCUGAGCUGCGAGGCUCUCAGACUCAUGAGACUGGAGGCCCUUUGGAAGCCUCUUAUACCCAGUCCACCUUCACUUUGAGACCAUCCACGGCCACCAUGAGAGCAUCGUGAGAACAAGGAGUGGCCCGAUGGCAGGGCGGGCAGGACCCUGCAGAAGGCAGGAAACAGUGGACACUACCGUAUUCCCGGCCUCCCCCCCUUCCUCAGUGUGAGGAGUCCACGUGGCCGCGGUGGGGCUCCGGAGUGAGCCCGCCCCUCCCUGCUGGAAACCUAACCUUCUCCCUGGAGUCCGCCUCUCGAAAAGAGUCUGCUCUGGGGUCUGAACCCAGCUGCACCCCUCUGCUCUCCCCAUCUCUUCUUCCUUUUUGCCUGCCACCUCCCUCUCCAACUGGUAGUAAGCCUUUCUCUCUCCUUUUUAAAAGAAUAUAUUUUAUCAAGCAUUAUUUUUGAGGUCGAGGAGUAACUUGUCUAUUUGCUGGCUUGCAUUUUUAUAAAACUUAGCCCGUAAACCGGCACCGACUGUGUCUACUUGGCCCUACCUGCUCGUUUAGACACUGCACUUGCUUUCCGAGUCAGCCCGGCCAGUGCCGUGCAGAUCCUACUAGCCUCUAUUCAGCAGACCCGACAAUCCUACCUCAAGCCCCUGCUCCCAGACGAAGACUGCCGACCCAGCUGCGUCCACCAAGGUGGCCAGGGAGACUGGCCGCCCACGUCUGCAGGAGCCUCCUGGUGCUGUCUAAGCCUCUGCUGCCCAGGUCCUGGCAGCCAUCCACUCAGUCGAGGUCCAGCCUCCUCCUUUUCAUCCAGCGGGCGAUGCACAUGGCCCAUCCACAUCCUCGCAGCUGCCCGUCUCUUCCCCGCUCCCAGCAUCCUUUCAUCUCACUCCUGGGCCACGGCUCUGGGGGAACUCCCUGUGGAGGGUGGGGAAAGUUCUUGAAGCCUGGAGGCCCCAGAGGAACCCCUGCCUUCCCGGGGCAGGAAGCCGAGGCCGGCAGGUCCAGAGGCAUCAGCAUCGGGAAUGUCUUUGGGGAAAGACAAGCCCAGUGAGCUGGGAGUGAGGUGUGGCGAGGAAGGUGGUGACAGGACGGCCCGGCGGAAGUGGCUCCUCUCAGUGGAGCCUGGGUGAGAGGCUGGGAGCUCCCACCAUCGAAGCUGGGUGACCCUGCAACCCAGGCUCUGCGUCUUCAGGGAGGAGCUCCUUGGGAUCAGCCUGCACUUGGCGGCACCCUUGGGAGAGCAGUGUCUGGGUCAGAGGGAGAUGGGAAAGGGAGGAGGAAGGCCUCCUGAGGAAGAACAUGACUUUCUUCCCAGCAGCAGCAGCAGCAGCAGUGGCCCCAAGGCCCUGUGAGUGCCGGCACAGGUGAGCAUCUGCCUUCCGGCUCCUCCGGGGCCAGAAGCAAAACAGCUGACACCGAGCACCACGCCAGGUGGUCCGACAGCCACUCUUCUGUCCUCGGCACAAAACAACUUCUAGGAACAAGAGUGGACCACUGGGAGAAGGCAGGUCCACGUGUUCUUGAGGGACCAGCAGAAUGAAGGAGUGACUCAACAACAACUCAUGGGUCUCCAAGCCACCACCAUUCCCAGAAAACAACACUCCUCACCGCGUUCUUCCCUGCCCGCUUCUGACUAGAAGCUGCAGGAACGUCUUAGCAGGUGUGUGACCUUCAACUGGUCAAAACGUCAAAUCAGCCAUCAUCAGGAAGCUACUCAAGGCCUAUGCAAAUCCUGGAAACCACAGUGUUUCUUUCUCAAGCAAGCCAGGAGCUCCUGGCUAUUCAUUGGUCACAUUCACUGAUCCACGGCUUGAACUUUAAAUGGACUAUAAGACAGAGAAGAGUGGGUUUGGGGGGGGAAUGCCAGGCUCAACCAUCAGAAAUGCCUCUUUCAACCCAGUACAGGUGGGGCCAAACCUCUUCAGUCUGUGCCUCAGCCUCCCCACCUGGACGUGGGCGCGGUCACACUAACCUACCUCCUCUGGUGUGUUGUGAUGAUCGUAGAGUAAGGAACGCUUCUUAAAGAACAAAGUAGAGACAUGCAUCCACCGAGUCCAGGCCAACGGUUCACACUUGGAGGACAGAGCCUGCGAGAUGACUUUCCCGAGCCUCGUCUGACAUGUCUUCCAUCCAGGAGCACGUGUUGAUUACACAGCUGCCUGGCCAGGAGUGCGUAAAGCCAGAUUCACCUGAGCACAGAGAGCAACAGACAACUGCUCCCGUUCUCAGAACGGCCUGCUUUGAUGGCACUGUGUGGAGCACUGUACGCAGGCUAAGCAUCUGCAUGCAGACGCUGCCUUGAAACAUGGAAAGACAGCGACCGCCUCCCUGCCUUUGUGGUUAUCUUAGCCCUCGUUUAAGGGGACCUUCAGCUGACGAUGUUUCUCCUCUGUUUUCAAAGAUCUCCGCAGAAGGAACGGCUUUGAAAACCAACACCUAAGCAUGAGAAGGCAUACAACCGAACUAUGGUCUGGAAGGCAGGUUGGCCUAAAAGGUGGAGGGCCUGGUGUCCCCACGGGCUGGGACUCACCUGCACUACCUGUUAUGGGGGUGGGGUUCAUGGGUUUCUUGAUGAAUGACGUUGACUUGAGUCAGAGUAGCUGGGAGCUGAGGCUGCAGGCAAGUCUCUGAGCCAGGAGGCAUCACUGUCUCUCAACGGG
Non-coding RNA from Odocoileus virginianus texanus, 3708 nucleotides. The record is from RefSeq and is a predicted model, not a curated record. NCBI's taxonomy places the organism in Eukaryota, Metazoa, Chordata, Mammalia, Artiodactyla, Cervidae.